Molecule: small nucleolar RNA, 97 nt
Filed under: Macleaya cordata
Lineage: Eukaryota; Viridiplantae; Streptophyta; Magnoliopsida; Ranunculales; Papaveraceae
Description: Small nucleolar RNA R64/Z200 family
Rfam family: Small nucleolar RNA R64/Z200 family
About the family: This family of plant small nucleolar RNAs belong to the C/D class of snoRNA which contain the C (UGAUGA) and D (CUGA) box motifs. This family includes Arabidopsis thaliana snoRNA R64 and Oryza sativa snoRNAs Z200 and J16.
Source: Rfam by way of RNAcentral
AUUCUGUUGUGAUGAAUUAUGAAAAAUUUCACAUGUCAGACUUCAGAGAUUUUGCUCAACGAUCCAUGAGAAGAAACUUCAUUUUUCUGAGUAGAAA